UUUAUCUAUUCGUCAGAGAGAGAGCGAGAGACAGAGAGCACAGCAGGAGGGAAGCAGCAGGCAGAGGGGUGUGAGCGACAGGAGCUGUUGCCACGUGAGUUCAGUGGCAACAGAAAGAGGAGGGAGCUACUUGUCCUGCACCCUCUGGGGGCCAUUCCCGGGAAAGACAGAGAAAAAGGAAACCUGAUGCUCCAGGAUUGGCCAUGGUUGCAAGAUGAAGCUGAUGCCGCAAACAGCCGCGUGAGGAGAUGGCAGUAACCUGGGGCCCCGGUGACAUAGCUCAAUCCCUGAAUCAAGCCCAUCUUACUUCUAAACUUCCUGCUAUUUGAGGUAA
This is a long non-coding RNA of Mustela lutreola (European mink), 334 nucleotides long. RefSeq lists it as uncharacterized. The transcript is spliced from 3 exons. The record is from RefSeq and is a predicted model, not a curated record. NCBI's taxonomy places the organism in Eukaryota, Metazoa, Chordata, Mammalia, Carnivora, Mustelidae.